Molecule: ribosomal RNA, 586 nt
Filed under: uncultured fungus
Lineage: Eukaryota; Fungi
Description: eukaryotic LSU rRNA
Rfam family: 5.8S ribosomal RNA (bases 200-353)
Source: RNAcentral
GAUCAUUAAAAAAUGUACACCGGCUCCAAGUAUGAGAGUGCUUUGGGGUUGGCUGUUAACAACCACCUGUUUACCUUUACCUGUUGCUUCCGUGGAAUCAAGGGUGCUCUAACUGUUCGCAGGCUUGGGUUACCUUCCACGAGUGGAUAAUUAAAAUCGUUUUGUAUAGUUAGUCUGAAUAAAUGUUAUAAAAGUUUAAAACUUUCAACAACGGAUCUCUAGGUUCUCGCAUCGAUGAAGAACGCAGCGAAAUGCGAUAAGUAGUGUGAAUUGCAGAUUUCAGUGAAUCAUCGAAUCUUUGAACGCACAUUGCGCCCUUUGGCAUUCCGAAGGGCAUGCCUGUCUGAGCGUCAAUAAAUCAAUCAAAUCUCGGUUUGGUAUUGAGAGAAGUGGUUUUGAAAAGCCUCUCUCUUGUAAGGUAUUGGCGGUGCUAUUACAGCUUGUAAGACGUAGUAAGCAAUUUCUCGUUGAAGCAACUGUUUGGUGUCCUGCCAACUGAAUGAUUUAUUUUACAGCUUGACCUCAGAUCAGGUAGGGAUACCCCCUGAACUUAAGCAUAUCAAUAAGCGGAGGAAAAGGGCGAAUU